Molecule: ribosomal RNA, 471 nt
Filed under: uncultured bacterium
Lineage: Bacteria
Description: partial 16S ribosomal RNA
Rfam family: Bacterial small subunit ribosomal RNA
Source: RNAcentral
UGGGGAAUAUUGGCACAAUGGGCGCAAGGCCUGAUGCAGCCAUGCCGCGUGUGUGAAGAAGGCCUUCGGGUUGUAAAGCACUUUCAGCGAGGAGGAAGGUGGUGAACUUAAUACGUUCAUCAAUUGACGUUACUCGCAGAAGAAGCACCGGCUAACUCCGUGCCAGCAGCCGCGGUAAUACGGAGGGUGCAAGCGUUAAUCGGAAUUACUGGGCGUAAAGCGCACGCAGGCGGUUUGUUAAGUCAGAUGUGAAAUCCCCGGGCUCAACCUGGGAACUGCAUUUGAAACUGGCAAGCUAGAGUCUCGUAGAGGGGGGUAGAAUUCCAGGUGUAGCGGUGAAAUGCGUAGAGAUCUGGAGGAAUACCGGUGGCGAAGGCGGCCCCCCUGGANGAAGACUGACGCUCAGGUGCGAAAGCGUGGGGGAGCAAACAGAUUAGNUACCCUGGUAGUCCACGCUGUAAACGAUGUCGA